CCUUAAUAGCGGCUGCACCAUUAGGAUGUCCUGAUCCAACAUCGAGGUCGUAAACCCCCUCGUCGAUAGGGACUCUGGGAGAGGAUUGCGCUGUUAUCCCUAGGGUAACUCGGUCCGUUGAUCGGCGUUCGCCGGAUCAUUUUUGGUCAGAAAUUCUGGUACUUAGAGUUGUGGCUCUUGGUUGUGGGGGCAGUGCCCCCAGUCCACAUGGGGGCUUUGUUUUCCCCCGCGGUCGCCCCAACCAAAGACAUAGGGGCUAGGGGUCACUGUGUUUUUACCUGUUAAUUUAAGGUUACUUGACGUGAUCUGCCUGGUGUCUAAAGCUCCAUAGGGUCUUCUCGUCUUAUGUAUUUAUGUCCGCUUCUGCACGGG
Molecule: ribosomal RNA, 372 nt
Filed under: Salmo trutta fario
Lineage: Eukaryota; Metazoa; Chordata; Actinopteri; Salmoniformes; Salmonidae
Description: partial 16S ribosomal RNA
Source: RNAcentral